AGGAACAAAAAUGCUACCUAUAAUUGGACACUUUUUUCUCUGUGACGGCACCUGUAUUUGGAAACAUAUACUGAUCUACGUAAACUACUCUUACAUCAUAGCAUAAUAUUCGGUUUGAACUUAGCAAGUAUCUAUUAUCUGGUAAUAUAUAGCUCACUUCAAAAUUUGCAGUUUGGUGCUGCAUCAUCUGUUGGCGUUGAUAUUGAUCCCCUGGCAAUAAAAUCUGCUAGUCAUAAUGCAGCUCUGAACAACAUUCCUUUGGAGAAACUGGAGCUGCACCUUGCACCAAGUGAGAAUAGCUCUUCUGGAAGAGAAACACCAUUGCAAAAAGAACAGUUUGACGUGGUCAUUGCAAGCAUACUCUUAAACCCGGUUAUGGAACUAGCAGAUCAUAUAGUUUCAUUUGCAAAACCUGGGGCAACCAUUGGCAUUUCUGGAAUCCUAUCUGAACAGCUUCCAAAUGUAAUAGAACGAUACUCUCCCUUCUUGGAGAACAUUUCUGUGGCCACAAUAGGUGAUUGGGAAUGCAUGAGCGGUACCAAAAAAAGGGAGUUUAUUGAUAACUGUUAACUUUUUCAGUGUUACAUCAGAAAAGAGGCAAUAACAUAAAGCACUAGCGAAGCAAAGGCAAGAAGAACAAAAGGUGCCUAAUGAUCAUACAUAAAGAACAGAUCUGCCUUAGUAGUUGAGUAAGAGGCUACAAGCCUACAACUACACAUGAAAUGAAACUUAAUGUACUCUUCAUUGAUGUAUUCAAAAAUUCAAAUCUAUUAUGAUUUAAAGUUUGUGUUGUCACCAACUCUGGUUGUAAUUAUUGUUCAAACAACCAUUGUAUUUAAGUUCUACAGAAACAAAAAAUUAUGUCGACAUCAACUAUCUUCAUUAUGUUGCUUCA
Molecule: long non-coding RNA, 895 nt
Organism: Camelina sativa (false flax)
Lineage: Eukaryota; Viridiplantae; Streptophyta; Magnoliopsida; Brassicales; Brassicaceae
Source: RefSeq, a predicted model, not a curated record